AUGGCGUCCCAGCUGGUCGAGAGCCACCGUGCCGGGGCCGAGGUCAUCAAGGGGGGCGAAGUCUGCAAGAAGAAGUCUGUCGAGCUCCUUGAAGAGCUCGGCCUCCCUAAAGGCCUCUUUCCAAUGGACGACAUCGAGGAGAUCGGGUACAACCGCGAGAGCGGGUUCGUUUGGAUGCUUCAGAAGAAGAAGAGCGAGCACACCUUCAAGAAGAUUAACCAGACCGUCUCCUACGACAUCGAGGUGACCGCUUUUGUGGAGAAGGGCAAGAUCAAGAAGGUCACAGGGGUCAAGUUCGAGGACCUGUCUUUGGUCGAGGUCUAUGUGGAUGAGUCUUCUGCUGAUAAGGUUACCAUCAAGACCAACACCGGUCUGUCUGACACCCAUGAUGCGGCCGUGUUCGCUCUCGGAGAAUAG
RNAcentral lists this ribosomal RNA (417 nucleotides) under Triticum aestivum (bread wheat). RNAcentral's name for it is "partial small subunit ribosomal RNA". The record is from RNAcentral. Lineage: Eukaryota; Viridiplantae; Streptophyta; Magnoliopsida; Poales; Poaceae.